RNAcentral lists this non-coding RNA (23 nucleotides) under Arabidopsis thaliana (thale cress). The record is from RNAcentral. Lineage: Eukaryota; Viridiplantae; Streptophyta; Magnoliopsida; Brassicales; Brassicaceae.
CAAAAUCCAGCGGAAGAUGAUGG